Molecule: long non-coding RNA, 7065 nt
Organism: Ictalurus furcatus (blue catfish)
Lineage: Eukaryota; Metazoa; Chordata; Actinopteri; Siluriformes; Ictaluridae
Exons: 3
Source: RefSeq, a predicted model, not a curated record
ACAGGGACUCACAGGGACACGCUCCACCCGUAAGAUGUUUAUGUAACGUUUAUGGAAGGAGUCUCCGGUGUCAGCGCUCUGUAACAGUCCGAGGUAAAGCUGGAACCUCUCUGACAUGACGAGCUGAGUUUGUUUUGUCUUAUUAUCUUAAAGAGAGAGAAAAAAGAGAGAGCGGUGAGGGAAAGGCUGUUUAUAGCUGCCAUAACGUACAGUAAGUGAGGACAGGAACGCGUAAAUGUACUUAUAAACGGAUAAAAACCAAGACGCUCGUUCAUUAAUAUACAAAGAAUUGUAAUCACUGGGAAGUUGUUGUGGUGUAAGUAGAGUAGAAGACUCUGAGACGUCCUGUUAAAGGAAGAUGAUCAACUUCUGCGUGAGUACGUCUGCUCCAUGUUGAUUAUUUCCCUAUAACGGCACCACACCAUACAGUGUUUUAUUAUUAACACACUUUAUGACAGCGGUACAGCGGUCGUUACCAUGGAUACGCAUGAUUUCACGGCGUCACGAUAUUACCGAUUGUUCUUACCUUUCCAGCCCGACAUGUAAAUAAUAAGAAACGGUCUAAAAUAUCGUCUAAUUAGACGUGUAGUUUGAACAGAGACCCUUUCUAGCUUCGUAUUGCACGAGAAAUCAAAUAUGGCAAAAAAAAAAAAAAAAACAAAGAAAAAGAACAAGAAGUUUCCAAACUCGAAAGCACCGACUGAACCAACAGUUUCUACAUACUUUAAGGAAUCCAUAAAAGCCGAGCCGCUCCUUCAGAUGUGCUCUCUAAAAGCUUCUGCGCUUUCAGUCUCCUGCCAUGCCGUCUCAACUUUAAUCCCAGGUAAAAGUUUAACCAAGACGCAACACUUUUUAAUGGAAUUUUUCAAACGUUAAAGCUCAUAUUUUAUAAUUGGCGCAGGAAAACUGACGGUUCCUUUUAAAACAGACGAGAAGAAAGCAGUAAGGUGGAUCUCAAUCUGACAACAUGGAAAGGGAUCAAAUAAAAUAAAUAAAUAAAAUAAAAUAAAAAAAGAUCAGUAGUGGGAGAAACCCAGAAACCGUCGACCGGUGUAAAUAAUUCAUUGGAUCCAGUUAGAGGAAAGUGAGAACUUCAAGCGGUGAGUGGGAUGUGAGUUCAGAAAGCACUCCCAGACUUUAGAGACUCCAUUCCAAGGUAAAAAAAAAAAAAAGUCUGUCAAGAAGAAUGGACCAAUUUUUGAUAGUUUAUACAGAGAUGUAGGAGAUGUGCUUCUCCGCUGCGAGGAGAGAAAUUCCAACGAGCAUACGGCAAAGAGAAACAUGUUCAAGAAACCACCAUGGCUAUUAAACGAAGCUCAUUAUACACAAGUAGAUUCUUAAACGUUCAGCAUGUUUGUAAUUAUUUUUAAAUACAACCAACUUUAAAGUUUUUAACCCUUUCAUGCAUAGUGCCAAAAGUUAUGGAUCAUCAAUUUAAGGUUGUUUUUAAGAUGUAAAUCACCUCAAAAUCAUUAGAGACCAUUCGCUGUAAUUUAACAAGAAUCGUUAUGCUGAUUGCUCUUGCUCUCUGGAUUGUUGGCCUUCUCGAUUUUUUGCGGAAAAAAAUCCCAAAUUAACUUUUAAUUUCUUUUUGGUCCGGAAUCCCGCUAUAUUUUGUUUGAAAACUGGAUUAUAUUUUUUUAUUUUAUGUCAGGUGUGAUGUUUUAUCCUUUUUUCACUCGUUGUAUUCCUAUACCUGUGCAAUCGGUUUACUUUUUAAUAUAAGUGAUAUUUAAGAAAAAUCCAGAAUUAUUUGACCUGCGGUCUUACGUAGCAAAAACAAUCAUACAAUCGAUGAUUAUUUUCAUAAAAUAUUUUAUGCAUGGAAUAUUUUAUUCUACUUUUCAUCCUGAGUUGGAUCAUCUAUGGAAAGACAUCAAAGAGAGAGAGAGAGAAUCCCAUAACAUAUACCCAUAUUGAUCAGGUGUUCACAUGUUAUUAGCGUAAUUAGCAUUGUCUUCCCCUCACACUAGGUGAGGUUCAUUCUAGGUGUUUCUCAUUCUAUUGCAUUGAAAUUAUUACACAGCUUAUUAAAGGAAUUCUGAUAAUUAGCGACUGUAGUAGUUAAAACACAGGGGUACAAUUGAUUAUGAUGUUAGCCGUACCCCACAGGCAGAGACACAGAUCAGACCACUGUUGGGUAUUUGUUUGAAUUUUCUUGGUUAGGAGUGUGAAAUUGACCCUCGCCAAUUCAGACAAGUCAGCGGGGAACGUUAUGACUUAAUAUUUCAUAUCUUAUAUAUCAAAGCCAGGAGAAAUUCCCCAUGUGGCGGAGGGAUCGGGACGAUAAAAUGUUGUCACGUCUUGUGAAAUGACAAGAAAUCUAUUUUAUUAUCUCGAGCACAAGUCGCUCGGCUGAAGAAAUUCUAUAACAACGGACGAACGGGGGAAAAUUCCUCUCGCUAAACUUAACCAACCGGUGUCUUCACUCAGCGCUUAAUAAGUGUUAUUAAAAGAAAAGCGGAUGUUACACAGCGAUAAACAGUCGGCUGUCCCAACAUUUUUGGAGUGCGUUGCAGUCGUCAGAUUUGAAACGGGUGUAUAUUCUCAAAAAUAAAUUACAUUCACAAAGUAAAACAUCAAAUAAUGUGUUGAUGAUGUGUUUUCAUUAUAGCACAGCGUGAACUGAAUGAUCAAACGACUCUUUUUAUUUAUUUAUUUAUUUAUUUUUGCAUUUUCCAUACUGUCCCGACUUUUCCAGAAUUGGCGUUGUAUAAUAGCUUAACGAUUGUGUGGGUGGCGAAGCUGGAUUCUUGAGAACAGGGGAUAUUCGGACAAUCAUCUCACUAAGAACAACUCUGUUGACCCCAGACAUGUUCUACUGUUUAUCCGUGUGCGUAUGGUUACAUUAAAUCCUGUCGAAUGUCCAUGAAACAAUUUCUCACUUCGUCUAUAGCAGCUAUAAACACUCGCUCCCUCACCAGAGUCUUUAUUUUGUCUGGCUUAAAGUCUUAAAAAUCGCAGCUUGUCGUGUUAUAGAGAAACCUCCUCGGUCCGGAAGAUGUGGGAAAACGUAACGUUACAGCUUCAUCUCUGACGGUUACAACGCGCUGACACUGGAGACUCCUUCCUUACACGUUCCAGUUGCAAUCACUGACUAUAAGCAGAAUAACACACUUCGUUCUGUGCUGUUAUAUGAAAAUAACCCACUUCAGGGGGGUAACGUUAACAUUAACGUUAACAUCCUGGCGUGGAUUGUUUUUGCAUCUCAGCACGACUCAAUAAAUAACAGUUUCCCUGCUUUCAAAAUCCCACUUCUUUCCACCCCGUUAUUCACUCACUGUGAACGUGGGUGGGCGUUUCGGGAUUUCCUCGGGGUUUGGACAGCUUAUUUUCCCGAACUAGAAGAGUGCCUUUACGACGCUCUGAACGCAUCAGAAUCCACGUGUGAUGAAAGCAUACAGCAGCACUGAGGAGAAAAAAACGCGACUUUAAUCAAAACAUGUCAGCCAUCAGCAGGACUGCUCAAGCCUCCGGUCGUGUCUUUCACCGCAUGGAUUUACGGCUAAGAGAGAAGUCCGAGCGUAAAAUGAUUCCCGCUGUGGCUGGGAGGAGAAGGCCGAGAAGAUUUCCCAAACUUUACAAGAAGCACUCCAAAAGCCUUCUCUCGCAACUGAUCAUCCUGAGCUCCUGCCACAGACAACACCAUGAAGAAUUUCCAGAUUGCUCAGAGACUUCGUGAGAGCAAAAGGUUAAACUCUCGGCCGCCCACACACACUCGAGAAUGAAGUGUGAUCCCACUCAGCUGUAUGAGAGCCGUGCUCCUGAGACCUUUUUUAUUGAGAACGAUUCCCCGCAAUCGACCGUACGCUUUGAUAACUGCUUAGAGAAAGAAGGAACAAAAGAAACGGAGAGAAAAUGACUGACCCUGGUUUGGACACGAGUGCAGUGUAGAUGACGAUAUGUGAGGACCGGAACACUGUGUGUCGUGCCGUUAUGUAAGGAAUAAUUGACGUCGGGACGUUGGACCAUUAUUCUGUAAUAAAACGACGGACCGGAGCCAAUUAAUCCGCUUGUCCCACACUUCCCACGCCUCAAGACGUUGUUCAGAUGUUUUAUUUCGAGACACUGGUCAGGUUUGUGUCCUUAAAACGCUCCUGUGUGUGGAACUAAUUUAUUGCGCAUCACAUCUCAAACCUCCGCGGCUAGUUCCAAAACGUCAUUUUAGAGCUAGAAACGGAGGCUGGAGCCACUGAUAUGCAGUUAUUGGAGAGAGAGAGAGAGAGAGAGAGACAGAGAGAGAGAGAGAGAGAGAGAGAGAGAGAGAGAGACAGAGAGCAAGAGCGAAAGUGAGAGAGAGAGAGCAAGAGAGAGAGCAAGAGAGAGUGAAAAAGAGAGAGAGAGCAAGAGAGAGAGAGAGCGAAAAAGAGAGAGAGAGAGAGAGCAAGAGAGAGAGAGAGAGAGCAAGAGAGAGAGAGAGUUUAGUUUUUUUUUUCCAUUUCAUACUGACAAUAUAAAUAAAUAAAUAAAUAAAUAAAUAAAUAAAUAUGGAUAAACCUACUUGUUCACAGGGUUUUUCGUUUUUUAUUACUGCAGAAAAUACAACGAAUAAAUAAAUAAAUAAAUAUUGAUACAUGUUCACCAGCUUUUCUGUCUCAUUACUGCAAUCACAUGUGCUCUCUCUCUCUCUCUCUCUCUCUCUCUCUCUCUCUCUCUUUUCUCGCUCUCUCCCUCUCUGCAUAUCAAUGGCUCGUGACUGCAUUACCACCUCGGGUGCGUGUUAUUUUUUGAAUAAUUCAGCACCCAGUCAUCGGUUAUUACUUCCUUAUUUCUGGAAAAUGGAAUUGGUCUGUCCUUGCGUUUGUUGUUAGCUCUGUGUGUGUGUGUGUGUGUGUGUGUGUGUGUGUGUGUGUGUGUGUGCUGUGACGGACAGCAGGCUAACUUUCCCGGCAAAGUGAUAUGGAACUGUAAUGCUGUCAAGACCCGACUGGAACUACUUUAGCUGUGCAUUUACUGAAAAAUAACCGCACACCUCAGAACGUCUGUCGGCCAAUCAGGAUGGAGAAUUCACCAGCGCUGGGGUAGAAAGUAAACUAAUCACCGACGGGGUGGUAAGUUGGUUUCGCGGACAUGCUACAUGGUUAACUGUAAUUGAGGAGUGAAACGCUUCGGGGUGUGUAAAUUACGAGCGGUCACUGAUUAUUUUCCUGUAACAGCACAACGCCGAGCGGUUUAUUCUUUACUGGGUGAAAGGUCAGCAGUCUGUUUAGUCCAUGUCAAUGAUUUCAGCAUCAACUGUUGCUGUCGUUGUAAGAUUUCGGUUCUUGUAGAGGAACGAGUAUUAUUCAUGAGAAAUACACAAACUGAGCAACACAGGAAUCAGUUCGGAGCCUGAAGGCACGCGACUCCUCGCUGCGACUCUGGAGAAAGUCAUUACGGUCUUGCGUAACAUCCCGUCUCUGAACUCUGGAAGAGCUUUUCCUCUUCCGUCUCUGUAAAUAUCGCGCUCCGAGGCAGCGCCGAUGCUGUGGAAUGCGCUCGGAAAGAGAUUUAGUCAUUUAAUUCAAUAGCGUUUCCUCUGAAACGUCUAAACCCAGUCGGGAUUAUUCAGAUCGAAUGAAAUCGGAGACGGAUGAGCAGAAAAAUAUACAGUACGGAUAUUAGAGCCGACAGUUUAUUUAGUCUGCUUUAAUCUCUCCAUCAGCCACGCUCUCAGUCCGACAUGUGAUGAGAUAAAGAUGGGGUUACUACGAGAAAAGGGUUCUCAAGCCGAGGCCGUGACCAGUGAUCAAAUUAACCAUGUGCAGGAAAAAACACCGAAAUCCCCUUUAACUCAACUGGGAAUUCCUGCUCAGGACACUGGGACGGUCUCCUCAACUCCCAGUUCCUCUGAGAUCAGCAAGUGACGCUGAAUCAACAUGGCCGCCCCAGCAGCAGCACACACAGCACUGCUUCCCUUUGAACCAGUUACACCAUGCACACUUUCUUUCGUUCUUUCUUUCUUUUUUCUUUCUUUCUUUCUUUCUCUUCCCCACCUUUUGAAACAUUCUUUCUUUCUAUCUUUCUUUCUUUCUUUCUUUCUUUACCCUUUCACCACUAUUUGCAACAUUCUUUCUUUCUUUCUUUCCUUCUUUCCCACCUUAUGUAACAGUAUUUCUUUCUAUCUUUCUUUCUUUCUUUCUCUACCCUUUCACCACCUUUUGUAACAUUCUUUCUUUCUUUCUUUCUUUCCCAUUUGUAACAUGCUUUCUUUCUUUCAUCUAUUCAUUCAUUCUUUCUUUCUUUCUUCCCCACCUUUUGUAACAUUCUUUCUUUCUUUCUUUCUUUCUUUCUUUCCCAUUUGUAACAUGCUUUCUUUCUUUCAUCUAUUCAUUCAUUCUUUCUUUCUUUCUUCCCCACCUUUUGUAACAUUCAUUCUUUCUAUCUUUCUUUCUUUCUUUCUUUCUCUACCCUUUCACCACCUUUUGUAACAUUAUUUCUUUCUUUCUUUCUUUCUUUCUUUCUCUCCAACCUUUUGCAACAUUCUUUCUUUCUUUCUUUCCUUCUUUCUUUCUUUCUCUACCCUUUCACCACCUUUUGUAACAUUCUUUCUUUCUUUAUUUAUUUCUUUCCCACCAUUUGUAACAUGCUUUCUUUCUUUCAUCUACUCAUUCAUUCAUUCUUUCUUUCUUUCCCACCUUUUGCAACAUUCUUUCUUUCUUUCAUUCUUUCUUUCCCACUGUUUUGUAACAUGCUUUCUUUCUUUCCUUCCAUCUUUCCUUCCAUCCUUCCUCCUUUCCUUCCUUCUUUCUUUCUAUCUUUCUUUCUUUCUCUACCCUUUCACCACCUUUUGCAACAUUCUUUCUUUUUUCUUUCUUUCCCACCAUUUGUAACAUGCUUUUCUUCUUUCUUUCUUUCUUUCUUUCUUUCUAUCUUUCUCUACCCUUUCACCACCUUUUGCAAUAUUCUUUCCUUCUUUCUUUCUUUCUUUCUCACAUUAACUAAUGCACUAAAUACUAAAUGUUUGUAUGUAAACCAGGACGUAAUAUUAAAAACCUAAUGUUAAUUAAAGAUUAAGCACGAGUACAUGGCAUGUAAAUAAAGAUAAAUGUAUUCCAUAUUAAUAAAAAUAUCAAUAUAUUAAGA